RNAcentral lists this ribosomal RNA (253 nucleotides) under uncultured bacterium. Its description in RNAcentral is "partial 16S ribosomal RNA". It matches the Rfam family "Bacterial small subunit ribosomal RNA", at positions 524 to 776 of the family's 1533-position model. The record is from RNAcentral.
UACGUAGGUGGCAAGCGUUGUCCGGAUUUACUGGGCGUAAAGAGCGCGCAGGCGGUCGUUCAAGUCGCGUGUGAAAGCCCCCGGCUCAACUGGGGAGGGUCACGCGAUACUGAUCGACUCGAAGGCAGGAGAGGGUAGUGGAAUUCCCGGUGUAGUGGUGAAAUGCGUAGAUAUCGGGAGGAACACCAGUGGCGAAGGCGGGUCUCUGGACAGUUCCUGACACUGAGGCACGAAGGCCAGGGGAGCAAACGGG